Molecule: ribosomal RNA, 497 nt
Filed under: uncultured bacterium
Lineage: Bacteria
Description: partial 16S ribosomal RNA
Rfam family: Bacterial small subunit ribosomal RNA
Source: RNAcentral
GACGAACGCUGGCGGCGUGCCUAAUACAUGCAAGUUGAGCGCUGAAGGUUGGUACUUGUACCAACUGGAUGAGCAGCGAACGGGUGAGUAACGCGUGGGGAAUCUGCCUUUGAGCGGGGGACAACAUUUGGAAACGAAUGCUAAUACCGCAUAAAAACUUUAAACACAAGUUUUAAGUUUGAAAGAUGCAAUUGCAUCACUCAAAGAUGAUGCCGCGUUGUAUUAGCUAGUUGGUGAGGUAAAGGCUCACCAAGGCGAUGAUACAUAGCCGACCUGAGAGGGUGAUCGGCCACAUUGGGACUGAGACACGGCCCAAACUCCUACGGGAGGCAGCAGUAGGGAAUCUUCGGCAAUGGACGAAGGUCUGACCGAGCAACGCCGCGUGAGUGAAGAAGGUUUUCGGAUCGUAAAACUCUGUUGGUAGAGAAGAACGUUGGUGAGAGUGGAAAGCUCAUCAAGUGACGGUAACUACCCAGAAAGGGACGGCUAACUACGUG